RNAcentral lists this long non-coding RNA (207 nucleotides) under Mytilus galloprovincialis (Mediterranean mussel). Lineage: Eukaryota; Metazoa; Mollusca; Bivalvia; Mytilida; Mytilidae. The record is from RNAcentral.
CUGUUCUAUGUCGUGAAAUUAAUGCAGGUUCAAUUCAUAACAAUGCACAAAACCGGUCCAGCUACUUUUGCAAUGCGAAAAAGAAAGUCGAAUCGUGAAGCCAGUAAACAAUAUUUUUUUAAUCUGAGCAUGCAAAUUGAAGAUUAUGUUAUAUAUUUUACAUUAAAUGUAUUUGCAGAAUAAAAAUAUUGGUAAUGAGAGUCCCAG